CUGGCGGCGUGCCUAAUACAUGCAAGUCGAACGGUCUUUCUAUGGAAGUUUGCUUCCACUGAGAAGAUAGUGGCGAACGGGUGAGUAACACGUGGGUAACCUGCCCAUAAGAGGGGGAUAAUAUCCGGAAACGGGUGCUAAUACCGCAUAGUUUUCUUGAUCGCAUGAUCGGGAAAGGAAAGACGGCCUUUGUGCUGUCGCUUAUGGAUGGACCCGCGGCGUAUUAGUUAGUUGGUGAGGUAAUGGCUCACCAAGACGAUGAUACGUAGCCGACCUGAGAGGGUGAUCGGCCACAUUGGGACUGAGACACGGCCCAAACUCCUACGGGAGGCAGCAGUAGGGAAUCUUCCGCAAUGGACGAAAGUCUGACGGAGCAACGCCGCGUGAGUGAAAGAAGGUUUUCGGAUCGUAAAACUCUGUUGUCAGAGAAGAACAAGUUGGAGAGUAACUGCUCCAGCCUUGACGGUAUCUGACCAGAAAGCCACGGCUAACUACGUGCCAGCCGCCGC
RNAcentral lists this ribosomal RNA (509 nucleotides) under uncultured bacterium. Its description in RNAcentral is "bacterial SSU rRNA". It matches the Rfam family "Bacterial small subunit ribosomal RNA", at positions 36 to 518 of the family's 1533-position model. The record is from RNAcentral.